AAUGAUAAUUGGAAGGAAAUUCGAGUGAAUUGAAGCAGACGUUCAAAUCAGUGCAGCAUAAAGAACAGACUAGCAUCAAAAUUUCUAAGAGGAAGUAAGGAAUAAGAACCUGAUCGGAGCAAGUCCGAUGAACCAGUUCUGGCGUCGGCUUUUUGACAGGCUCUCUUUUGAUGAAGAUGAUGCAACAAAACCUCUUUGGAUUCGCGGGAACUUUGGAUAUUAAGGAGACUUGAAGUUCAACUUCAAGUGGUUGGAAGCUUGAAGAUGAAGAUCUUCAAGUAAGGUAUGAAGAACUACCUUUUCACUCUUUGUAACUAGAACACUCACAAUAUGAGCAAUAGAGAGAAGAGAGAAAGCAAGGACUCAAGUUGCUUUGGUGUGAUUUGCAAUGAAGUGAACACUUCUAUUUAUAGGAAAAGCUUAGGAUGUGUUUGGCAAUUGGUAAUCUUGAUUGGCAAGUUUCAAUCAUUGCAAGAUAAGAAAAAGAAUAUAUUCUUCAUCAUUGCAAGAAUAAAAAAUAAGAAUAAGAAUAUUCUUAUGCAAAGAUAUUUUUCAUGAUAUAAGCCAUGUGUGUAAAUUUUUAUGUCAUUUUAUGAUAUCUCUAAGUUGCAUAAUUUUAUGACAUAAAAAUCUCUCUUUGGCUUUCUUUGACUUUUGCUAAUUUCACCCCUCUUUUGUUUUCUUUUUCAUGUCACAUGAGAACUCUUGAAGAAAGAAUGAAGAAUCUUGAACUUGAAGAAUGAAGACUUUGAAGAUUGAAGAAUUCAAGAAUGUCUUUGAAGUUUUAUUUUUCUUUUCCUUGUAAUUCCAACUUUGUAUGAAUGAAACUUUGUAAUUCUUGAAUUUUAAAUAAAGUCCCUUCAUUUGUAA
Molecule: long non-coding RNA, 870 nt
Organism: Vicia villosa (hairy vetch)
Lineage: Eukaryota; Viridiplantae; Streptophyta; Magnoliopsida; Fabales; Fabaceae
Exons: 2
Source: RefSeq, a predicted model, not a curated record